GUCUGUUCAGUAUAAAAUUCACCAUGAAGUUCUACAAAUUGUUCGUAUUAUUUUUGGUCGUCAUUCUCAGUUGUUCUAUCGUAGAAGCAAAAGGAGGAAAAUGGAGGAAAAAUUUCAGGCGUAUUAAAGGUGGAUUUAAUCAUGGAGCUAAUGCUGCACAAAUUGGUUACACAUUAUACAACAUCUAUAGAGAUCAUCAAGGAUAGUCUUAAUAUUACAAUAUUUUAUAUAAUUAAGAAUAAUCUAAACAAUACUUUUAUUGUCAAAUAUUUUAACAUGAUA
Aethina tumida (small hive beetle) is the source of this 282-nucleotide long non-coding RNA. RefSeq lists it as uncharacterized. The record is from RefSeq and is a predicted model, not a curated record. The transcript has 2 exons. Lineage: Eukaryota; Metazoa; Arthropoda; Insecta; Coleoptera; Nitidulidae.